GAUGAAGAACGCAGCGAAAUGCGAUAAGUAAUGUGAAUUGCAGAAUUCAGUGAAUCAUCGAAUCUUUGAACGCACAUUGCGCCCGCCAGUAUUCUGGCGGGCAUGCCUGUUCGAGCGUCAUUACAACCCUCAGGCCCCCGGGCCUGGCGUUGGGGAUCGGCGGAAGCCCCCUGCGGGCACAACGCCGUCCCCCAAAUACAGUGGCGGUCCCGCCGCAGCUUCCAUUGCGUAGUAGCUAACACCCCGCAACUGGAGAGCGGCGCGGCCACGCCGUAAAACACCCAACUUCUGAAUGUUGACCUCGAAUCAGGUAGGAAUACCCGCUGAACUUAAGCAUAUCAAUAAGCGGAGGA
RNAcentral lists this unclassified non-coding RNA (353 nucleotides) under soil metagenome. RNAcentral's name for it is "partial contains 5.8S ribosomal RNA, internal transcribed spacer 2, and large subunit ribosomal RNA". The stretch from base 1 to 120 matches the Rfam family "5.8S ribosomal RNA", at positions 35 to 154 of the family's 154-position model. The record is from RNAcentral.